Molecule: small RNA, 46 nt
Filed under: Neorhodopirellula pilleata
Lineage: Bacteria; Pseudomonadati; Planctomycetota; Planctomycetia; Pirellulales; Pirellulaceae
Description: Acido-Lenti-1 RNA
Rfam family: Acido-Lenti-1 RNA
Source: Rfam by way of RNAcentral
CCCCACGCUGACGCGUGGGGCUAACUGCUACCGUCGCUCCGCGACU